Molecule: long non-coding RNA, 377 nt
Organism: Limulus polyphemus (Atlantic horseshoe crab)
Lineage: Eukaryota; Metazoa; Arthropoda; Merostomata; Xiphosura; Limulidae
Exons: 2
Source: RefSeq, a predicted model, not a curated record
AGAGAAGUUUCUACAAAUUCUCAAGGAAGUUAAAGGAAGCGUUUUGAAAUUUGGAGACGGAUAUUGAAUUUCAUAUAGGUGGAAGAAAGAUCAAAUUUACUUGUUUUUGUUGAAAGACGUAGAAUAAAUAAUUACAAUUAUAUCGGUUAUGUUACUAACCGAUGAUCUCUAGAAUAUUUAUGUUUGUAUCAUAAAAGUAGCAGGAACGUAAGGACGACAUCUAGUGGAAAGGCUUUUUGGAAUUUUUAAAUAUUCUUUCUGAGACUGCUUGAAAAUAGCCUGUUAAAUGUUGGACGCGGUUUUGUAAAAUGUUUUGUGAAAUAGUGAUAACAUUUUAUGUAUACCCGAUUCUUAAUAAAAAUUGUUUGAAUCAUUAA